AGAGCGAACGCUGGCGGCAGGCUUAACACAUGCAAGUCGAGCGGGCGUAGCAAUACGUCAGCGGCAGACGGGUGAGUAACGCGUGGGAACGUACCUUUUGGUUCGGAACAACACAGGGAAACUUGUGCUAAUACCGGAUAAGCCCUUACGGGGAAAGAUUUAUCGCCAAAAGAUCGGCCCGCGUCUGAUUAGCUAGUUGGUGAGGUAACGGCUCACCAAGGCGACGAUCAGUAGCUGGUCUGAGAGGAUGAUCAGCCACAUUGGGACUGAGACACGGCCCAAACUCCUACGGGAGGCAGCAGUGGGGAAUAUUGGACAAUGGGCGCAAGCCUGAUCCAGCCAUGCCGCGUGAGUGAUGAAGGCCCUAGGGUUGUAAAGCUCUUUGUGCGGGAAGAUAAUGACGGUACCGCAAGAAUAAGCCCGGCUAACGUUCGCGCCAGCAGCCGC
RNAcentral lists this ribosomal RNA (447 nucleotides) under uncultured bacterium. Its description in RNAcentral is "SSU rRNA". It matches the Rfam family "Bacterial small subunit ribosomal RNA", at positions 26 to 518 of the family's 1533-position model. The record is from RNAcentral.